UACGUAGGGACCAAGCGUUGUUCGGAUUUACUGGGCGUAAAGCGUGCGCAGGCGGUUUUGUAAGCCAGAUGUGAAAGCCCCGGGCUUAACCUGGGAAUGGCAUUUGGGACUGCAAGGCUGGAGUGCGGCAGAGGAGACUGGAAUUCCUGGUGUAGCAGUGAAAUGCGUAGAUAUCAGGAGGAAUACCGAUGGCGAAGGCAGGUCUCUGGGCUGACACUGACGCUCAUGCACGAAAGCGUGGGGAGCAAACAGG
Molecule: ribosomal RNA, 253 nt
Filed under: uncultured bacterium
Lineage: Bacteria
Description: partial 16S ribosomal RNA
Rfam family: Bacterial small subunit ribosomal RNA
Source: RNAcentral